Molecule: long non-coding RNA, 1802 nt
Organism: Phragmites australis (common reed)
Lineage: Eukaryota; Viridiplantae; Streptophyta; Magnoliopsida; Poales; Poaceae
Exons: 3
Source: RefSeq, a predicted model, not a curated record
CUCCCGCGCCAUCCGCCGGAGCCAGCGGUGCCCUUGGCCGGCGUCAUAGCUGCGUGCCGCGAACCGCUUCCUGCAGCACCGUCGUCUCGGCCAUCGCUUCUGAUUUUCCCAGGUCCCUCUCGCUUCUGGCUCCAGGUCUCCACCAUCGGUUCAACCUCCACAAAGACUCAUGGCGCUGGACAACACGGUGCAGGAAUUGCAUGGAUUGGGCAAGCAAGCCCUGAUCGAAGUGCCAAUCGCUCGAGAAUGGGUAGUAGCAGCCAAGCAGCGACGACAUCGUGGUGGUGGCAACAGCAGAGCAUGACGAAGAGGAAAGACGAGCAAGGAAAAGACAGAGCAGUAGCUGUUCCAAGCAGCCAUGCAGAAAUGUAUCUUCUCUGAGGAGUCAGGACCCAAAAAUGCUUCCAUGCUCUAAAAUCAGAUCAAAGCAAGAUGAAAGAAACUAAUUAUUCAUUUGAAAUAACGACAAAGUUCAAUUGUAGAGUAAGAAGGUAAUUAGUCAAUGUUUGACAGUUGAGAACUGUGACUUUAUUCCCUUCUCAUGGACGCCACCAUCUCUUGGAGAAUGAGGACAGCAAGAGAUGCAGCCCAGUUGGUGGAGGAGUGCAGGGAAUGCACAGCCGAUGUCAAAAUUCCAGCUGGGCAAACUACGAUGGGGACAACGAACAUAUUAUCAGUUUUCUUAUUAUACAAUAGUUGCCACAUACCAGAAGAUUACUCAUUUCUAAUACUAAUGUAUAGACAUGAUUUUUUCAGAGGACUGCCAUUUGUUGAAUGACAGAGCAGGCCUGGUGGGAAUGCUCACUAUCCAUUAACCUCAUUUAGAUGCUUGUUUGAGAGAAAAUUUUAAAUAUGUCUUUCAUGCAUACAUUACUAAUCCUCUAAUCUACCAGAUGGAACACAAAGGAAAGUAGGUAUAAUUUGCAUUAUGUUAGAACAAGCAAGUGGCACAUCUAUAUAAGGUCGCUAAUUACUUGUAAUUUCCUAAAUUGUGGCAGUAUAUCACUGAACUUCAAAGAAUAGGAUACAUAUAUUAUAGUAUCAAAAGCUAUUGGCUGCUUGGUUUAACUCAUGUCAAUUACUCCUUCCAAAGCUGCAAAUUAUAUUCAGUAUCUUGCAUGCAAAAUUGAUUUCAGUUUUGUGUUAAUGUCACAUGAAAAUCUACAUUUGAAACAUAAAAAUUACUAAUAUCUCUUUCGUUGAGAACAUUCUUUACAAAAAAAGAUAUUUGUGCACUUCUCGUGUUGAAGCAUGGGCUGCAUCUGAACUCUUCUUGCUUGUUUGUCGUGUUGCAGCUGGUCAUCGACUUCUUGGCAUCCUGGUUUGAGCUGUGCCGCUUCAUCGAGCCGGCCUUCAAGGAGAUGGCCUCCUGCUUGACCAACGCCAUCUUCGUCAAGAUCGAAGUCGACAAGAUCUCGUGUUCUUCUAAUGCUGCACAGCGAGAGCGUACACUUGCCUACACCUAAGAUGCCAGUUAACCAUGCAAAUGAGUUCCCAGCUGAUGUCUUGACUCUUGAGAGAUUCUGGGAGGCGAACGUGCUCAGGAGAUAAGCAGCUGGGUUAAAAUCGCUUGGUCAGUAUGUUAUAUAUUGCAGAGAGAUGCAGUCUAUAACUGUCCUGGCAGUUCUCAUGUUCACAUUGAUAUUUCUGCACACGUUUGUAAAACUUUUUGUGGAACUAUUUUUAUAUUCUUACAUUUUUCUUUUUCCGCAUUGUGUACCUUCUGGCUCUGCUGGACAUGGCAAAGAAUAGCUAAAAGACAUAUGUUGUGAUGAUUAUUCUUUGAUACAAAUCUUUAGCUU